RNAcentral lists this transfer RNA (73 nucleotides) under Planctomycetaceae bacterium. RNAcentral's name for it is "tRNA-Glu". It matches the Rfam family "tRNA". Rfam says of the family: Transfer RNA (tRNA) molecules are approximately 80 nucleotides in length. Their secondary structure includes four short double-helical elements and three loops (D, anti-codon, and T loops). Lineage: Bacteria; Pseudomonadati; Planctomycetota; Planctomycetia; Planctomycetales; Planctomycetaceae. The record is from RNAcentral.
GCCCCCUUCGUCUAGCGGCCCAGGACAUAGGAUUCUCAGUCCUGUAACACCGGUUCGAUUCCGGUAGGGGGUA